Long non-coding RNA from Aegilops tauschii subsp. strangulata, 1144 nucleotides. RefSeq lists it as uncharacterized. Lineage: Eukaryota; Viridiplantae; Streptophyta; Magnoliopsida; Poales; Poaceae. The record is from RefSeq and is a predicted model, not a curated record.
AUAGAAAAGAAAAAGAAAAAGAAAACGCUAGCAGCGGAGCGCCACCACCCACCACACAACAGUCAGCCGCUGCCAUCCUCGGUGCUCCCGGCGGUCGGCGAAGGAGACCCUGGGCGUGCUGCUGCUCCGGAGGAACGCUUACCUAGAGCAGGAGCUCGACCUUCGCUUCCGCCUCUUCCGCUCCUAGGAUUCCCCUCCCGACGGGCGCGCCGAGUUCCUUCGCGCCAACACCUCCUCCAUCGGCGCCGUCGUUGGCAACGCAGAUGCCGCAUCGAUGCGCCGUCGUCCUUCUCUGUGGGGACCGACCGCGUCGACCUCCCAAGUGCCGGGAGCGGCGGAUCUGCGUCACCAACACCCCCGACUUCCUCACCGAUGAGGUCGCUGGCCUCGCCAUCUCCGUGCCAAGGAAGACCAUGCAGGCUGACCGCUACGUGCACGCCGGCUUGUGGAAGGCAAGGGGGACUACACAGUCACCAUGCGGGUUAUUAUUUGGUGGCCAGAUCUCAUGAGAGGUGUUGUGUCAAUUGCAUUGGCCUACAAUAAGGGGAAGGGCUGGAAGUACGCCGACGGAAGGGCGCGAUGGCGACCUAUGUCCUUGAGACGGUGUGGCCACCAGUGCGAGGAUGGUGUGGACAUCGGAGCUAGGGCAACGCGUUGAUAUGGGCUGAGAUGACCUCGAGACGGCGGCCACCGAGGCGACACGCCGUGGACACCAGAUCAGGGCGGCUCGCCGAGGCGGGGAUGUCUCCUCAAGACGGCGGCCACCAGAGCGAGGAUGACAUGGACACCAGAUCUAAGGCAGCUCGCCGGGAUGGGAAGGUCUCCUCGAGAUGGCGGCCACCAGGGGCGAGGGCAGUUCGUGGCCUGGUGGCGGCGUUGAUGACGGGCGUAGUGUAUUUUCCUGGAGGUAUUGGGUUGUCCAACAUCCCGUGCGGGGGCAGACGCGUGGGCAGUCUGCCGGCAGAACAUUUGCUCUGAACCGUUGAUCUGAUUGACAGACGAUUGAUGUAAUGUGGACACUUGGAUGCGUUUAAGUUGGUUUGAUCGGACGGGGCUGGUUAUCCUGUGUGCACUAUUUGGUGUGGCUAUAGCGGAAUUCAUGUUUGCUUUUUUAAUAGUAGUAUAGAUAAGCUCGAUUGUUUUA